This 278-nucleotide ribosomal RNA is filed under the name Helix sp. ZIL2. RNAcentral describes it as "partial 16S ribosomal RNA". It matches the Rfam family "Bacterial large subunit ribosomal RNA", at positions 1951 to 2540 of the family's 2925-position model. Lineage: Eukaryota; Metazoa; Mollusca; Gastropoda; Stylommatophora; Helicidae. The record is from RNAcentral.
CAAAGGUAGCAUAAUCAGUUGGCUUUUAAUUAAAGUCUGGUAUGAACGAAAGUAUGGGUGGAAACUGUCUUAGUAUAUUGAUUCGAACUUAUUAAGCAAGUGCAAAUACUUGCAAGUUUAAAAAAGACGAGAAGACCCUAGAAACUUGGAGUAGUUUUUGUUGGGGCGACAGAAUUACAUUUAACUAAUUCUUAUGACAUGACAUUUAAUUGGUAGAAUAAGUUACUCUAGGGAUAACAGCAUAAUUUUAACAGUUUGUGACCUCGAUGUUGAAUUAG